CUUUGGAGAGUUAGACAAAAUCUUAUUUUGUAUUGAUUUUUUCCCCCCUGCAUAGAGAUUCAUUAAAGAGUGUAUUUGAAGGAUGAGUAUAUAUGCGUGUAUUUUAGGGGUUGAAGUAAUAACACAGAGACCAUAUUUUGCAAACUUGUUCACCUCUGAAGACAUUUUGUUUUAGUAAUGGAUGAUCUCUUCAUUUGUAUUAACUGGGUAUGCUAAAAUUUUUUGAGGUGAUCCAUGUAACUGCAUACUGACAGAAAGUUUCUCUUUUCUGCUUUUCAGCUAUUCGAGUACACUGCACCCAGUUUUGGUUCUGUGCCAGGAUUAAACCUACGAUAUUUCACAAUGUGUAUAUGAAUUCCGAUGAAGUGUUUCUAGGAGAUGGCUGCCCUGUAACCCAUUCUUUGCCAGAUGUCUACUAUGAGUUUUUCUACCAUCCUCAUGACUGUGGUAUUGUAUCUCAACCUCUCCAGGAACUUAUUCUGCUUAGAACUAAAAUCAAGUAUAUCUCAAGAGAUUCUACUGUCCGAUCUGAAAUGCCUCUGUCGUGUGUUGUCCGCAAUCAGAAUCCUCUUUUAAAUGCAGUUGAAAUGAGAGAUGAGGAAAAUGUUACUGAAUGGGAGAUAGAUGUGAGGAUACACAUUGUGAAUGAAGAUGGGGCAGUAACUUCUACAACACAGUCUUGUAAGAAUCUGACUGCGAUAUGCCCUUGUUCAUCAAAUGAGUGCCUUUAUUGCAAGAGAAGAAACAGUGCUGUCCACUUUGGUAUUGAGAGGCAAUUUGAAAUCUCUGCCAUGACUGCUUAGGACUGAGGAUUUACUGUGCUAUUUUGUGAAAAUCUGAGAAGCAGGAAGGGGAUUUAAUGAUCUCAGCCAUUAUCCAUCUGAAAAACCUAACUUGAGAUUUUAAAUAAAAUGGCAGGCUGCCUUCUACUAUUAAUAGGAGCUGCCUCUGCUUUUAACCUCAUGAAGUUUUAUUUAUGAAUAAAGUUUGUACUAUUAUAUAUCUGUUUCUAAUUAUUGCAAGACUGACUUGUAUAUAAUUGUAAGCUUCAAUGCUCCUUAGAAAUAGGUUUUUAAGGGUACAGUUACUAACUUUUCUCAGUUGCUGAUUCAUGCCUUUAGCUAAGGCUUAUCUGUGGUUGGUCCUGGUAACAGUGCCUAAUCAUUUAUUUAUUCCACAAAGAUGCCCUCAUGGAGUUCACAUUUUAGUAGGAGGAGGCGGAGUAUGCACAGAAAACAUACUUUAUAGUAUUCUAAGAAAGAGUAAACAGAGGCAGAGAAAGAAGAUAGGCAAUAUUGGGAUGAGAGUUGUGGUCCUAACUAUGGCAUCAGUGAAGGCAUCCCUCGAAGGUGAUGAUCAAGGAAAGAGCUGGAGGAGGUGAGGGAAUGAGCCCUGCAGAUCCUGGAGGAAAGGUCAUUCAAAACUGUGGGAACAGCUGGUGUAAAGUUGCUGAGUGUUUGCUAAACAAGGCCAGCAAGAUUGGAGAGGGGAAGUCAUACAGAUGAAGUCUUAAAACAACCCGAACACCUAAAACAAUGAGUGGAGGACAUCAUCUAAUUUCUCAAAGUUGAUGGACACGCUUUAGUUUGAAAUAAGAUGAGAACCCCCUGGAAAGUUCCAAAUGGAGGAGUGAUGUGAUCUGACUUGGAUUUUUAUUAUCAGGAUCACCCUGGCUGCUGGAUGGAGAAUGGACACCAAGAGGGAGCGAAGACUGAAGUAGGGAGAGGGAUGAGGUAGCGAUGAUGACAAGGCCAGCGGUUCUCUUCCAGGGGCAACUUUACCCUGUGAGGGCUGUAUCUGAAAGCAGCUUUGUUCAUCACAGUGAUGGUGUUAGUGUGUUACUGGCAUCUGUA
Aotus nancymaae (Ma's night monkey) is the source of this 1853-nucleotide long non-coding RNA. The record is from Ensembl. Lineage: Eukaryota; Metazoa; Chordata; Mammalia; Primates; Aotidae.